UAGGUAUUCCCUCCGUCCGAAAAUAUUUGUCAUCAAAAUGAAUAAAAAAGGAUAUAUCUAGAACUAAAAUACGUUAGAUACAUCUCAUCUUAUCCAUUUUGAUGACAAAUAUUUCUGGACGGAGGGAGUAGUUG
This is a non-coding RNA of Triticum aestivum (bread wheat), 134 nucleotides long. The record is from Rfam. NCBI's taxonomy places the organism in Eukaryota, Viridiplantae, Streptophyta, Magnoliopsida, Poales, Poaceae.